UAGGGAAUCUUCGGCAAUGGACGAAAGUCCGACCGAGCAACGCCGCGUGAGUGAAGAAGGUUUUCGGAUCGUAAAACUUUGUUGUUAGAGAAGAACAAGGACGUUAGUAACUGAACGUCCCCUGACGGUAUCUAACCAGAAAGCCACGGCUAACUACGUGCCAGCAGCCGCUUUAAUACGAAGGUGGCAAGCGUUGUCCGGAUUUAUUGGGCGUAAAGCGAGCGCAGGCGGUUUCUUAAGUUUGAUGUGAAAGCCCCCGGCUCAACCGGGGAGGGUCAUUGGAACCUGGGAGACUUAAGUGCAGAAGAGGAGAGUGGAAUUCCAUGUGUAGCGGUGAAAUGCGUAGAUAUAUGGAGGAACACCAGUGGCAAAGGCGGCUCUCUGGUCUGUAACUGACGCUGGGGAUAAAAAGCGUGGGGAGCAAACAGG
RNAcentral lists this ribosomal RNA (429 nucleotides) under Gemmatimonadota bacterium. RNAcentral describes it as "Gemmatimonadetes bacterium partial 16S ribosomal RNA". It matches the Rfam family "Bacterial small subunit ribosomal RNA", at positions 355 to 776 of the family's 1533-position model. Lineage: Bacteria; Pseudomonadati; Gemmatimonadota. The record is from RNAcentral.